AUACGUAGGGGGCGAGCGUUGUCCGGAAUGAUUGGGCGUAAAGGGCGCGUAGGCGGCGCGGUAAGUCUGGAGUGAAAGUCCUGCUUUCAAGGUGGGAAUUGCUUUGGAUACUGCCGCGCUUGAGUGCAGGAGAGGUUAUCGGAAUUCCCGGCGCAGCGGUGAAAUGCGUAGAGAUCGGGAGGAACACCAGUGGCGAAGGCGGGUAACUGGACUGCAACUGACGCUGAGGCGCGAAAGUGUGGGGAGCAAACAGGAUUAGAUACCCUGGUAGUCCACACUGUAAACGAUGAAUGCUAGGUGUAAGAGGUAUCGACCCCUUUUGUGCCGGAGUCAACACAAUAAGCAUUCCGCCUGGGGAGUACGGCCGCAAGGUUGAAACUCAAAUGAAUUGACGGGG
RNAcentral lists this ribosomal RNA (397 nucleotides) under uncultured bacterium. RNAcentral describes it as "partial 16S ribosomal RNA". It matches the Rfam family "Bacterial small subunit ribosomal RNA", at positions 523 to 918 of the family's 1533-position model. The record is from RNAcentral.